GAUGAAGAACGUAGCGAACUGCGAUAAGUAAUGUGAAUUGCAGAAUUCAGUGAAUCAUCGAGUCUUUGAACGCACAUUGCGCCCCCUGGCAUUCCGGGGGGCAUGCCUGUCCGAGCGUCAUUGCUGCCCUUCAAGCCCGGCUUGUGUGUUGGGUCGUCGUCCCCCCCGGGGGACGGGCCCGAAAGGCAGCGGCGGCACCGCGUCCGGUCCUCGAGCGUAUGGGGCUUCGUCACCCGCUCUUGUAGGCCCGGCCGGCGCUUGCCGACACAUCAAUCUUUUUUCCAGGUUGACCUCGGAUCAGGUAGGGAUACCCGCUGAACUUAAGCAUAUCAAUAAGCGGAGGA
Molecule: unclassified non-coding RNA, 344 nt
Filed under: soil metagenome
Description: partial contains 5.8S ribosomal RNA, internal transcribed spacer 2, and large subunit ribosomal RNA
Rfam family: 5.8S ribosomal RNA (bases 1-120)
Source: RNAcentral